RNAcentral lists this ribosomal RNA (468 nucleotides) under uncultured bacterium. Its description in RNAcentral is "partial 16S ribosomal RNA". It matches the Rfam family "Bacterial small subunit ribosomal RNA", at positions 28 to 507 of the family's 1533-position model. The record is from RNAcentral.
GACGAACGCUGGCGGCGUGCUUAACACAUGCAAGUCGAACGGAAAGGCCCUGCUUUUGUGGGGUGCUCGAGUGGCGAACGGGUGAGUAACACGUGAGUAACCUGCCCUUGACUGUGGGAUAACUUCAGGAAACUGGGGCUAAUACCGGAUAGGAGCUCCUGCUGCAUGGUGGGGGUUGGAAAGUUUCGGCGGUUGGGGAUGGACUCGCGGCUUAUCAGCUUGUUGGUGGGGUAGUGGCUUACCAAGGCUUUGACGGGUAGCCGGCCUUAGAGGGUGACCGGCGACAUUGGGACUGCGAUACGGCCCAGACUCCUACGGUAGGCAGCAGUGGGGAAUAUUACACAAUGGGCGGAAGCCUGAUGCAGCAACGCCGCGUGCGGGAUGACGGCCUUCGGGUUGUAAACCGCUUUCGCCUGUAACGAAGCGUGAGUGACGGUAAUGGAUAAAGAAGCACCGGCUAACUACGUG